Long non-coding RNA from Pieris brassicae (large cabbage white), 388 nucleotides. RefSeq lists it as uncharacterized. The record is from RefSeq and is a predicted model, not a curated record. NCBI's taxonomy places the organism in Eukaryota, Metazoa, Arthropoda, Insecta, Lepidoptera, Pieridae. The transcript is spliced from 4 exons.
CAGUGACUGUCUAAUGAUGAUUUUUGUUUUUGCACAGUUACUCUAACAAUUAAAAUAUUAUUUGAAAUUGCUUUUUCCAGGUAUCCAUGUCGAUAAUAAUAAUGAUGAACGCCAUCACGUUAUUUCUCAGCAUAUUCCUUUUCACAUCUGUCUAUGGUCUGGACGGCUCUGGUAGUUGGCUGAAUAGUUUUUCAAACAUGGGUCCUGGGUGAAAAAUCUUGAUUUGAGACCUAAUAUAGCCGUUCAUGUUUCACGGCCACGGGCGAAGUUGGUGAAUGCGUAUCAUAUUACAACUGUUAUGAUGCGCCCCAGGAUGAUAUAGGAAGCACAUCCGGAUGUUUACACUACCUUCAUGUCUGCGGUAUAAAUGUGCCUACCGGUGAUGAGG